UCCAAACUCAUACAGCAUGCAGUGGGUGUGGAGGCUCUUUUUCCUGCUGGCAGCUGCCCAAAGUGUCCAAACACAGAUCCAGCUGGUGCAGUCAGGACCUGAGCUGAAGCAGCCUGGACAGUCAGUGAAGAUCUCCUGCAAGGCGUCAGGGUAUACCUUCACAGAUUAUUCAAUGCACUGGGUGAAACAGGCUCCAGGACAGGGUCUAAAGUGGAUGGGCUGGAUCGAUACCAACACUGGGAAUCCAACAUAUGCUGACGACUUCAAAGGACGGUUUGUCUUCUCUUUGGACACCUCUAUCAGCACUGCCUAUCUGCAGAUCAGCAGCCUCAAGAAUGAUGAUACAGCCAUGUAUUACUGUGCGAGACACAGUGUGAAAAACCACAUCCUGAGGGUGUCAGAAACUCUGAGGGAAGGUGGCUCUUCUCUGCCAAGACAGCAACGGGGAAUAUAUCCUGACCUCUUCCUUGGACUAGCUGGGAACAGAGGAUGCCGCCCUGUCGAGUGCGCCGCUCUUUUUCCAGGGAUAGGACGAUUACGAGGGCAACCUAUAUGCUCGACAUCUUGUUCCCCUGAGUGGAUAGGCUCAGUGCACUCUCAGGUGCAAACUAUCCGGAAUAGUCUCUGA
Molecule: non-coding RNA, 628 nt
Organism: Phodopus roborovskii (desert hamster)
Lineage: Eukaryota; Metazoa; Chordata; Mammalia; Rodentia; Cricetidae
Source: the annotation of a RefSeq genome assembly